UUUAAUGUGGCAGAUUAGUGCAAUGAAUUUAAGCUUCAUAUAUAAAGUUAUACUUUCAUUAAAA
Molecule: transfer RNA, 64 nt
Filed under: Conwentzia sinica
Lineage: Eukaryota; Metazoa; Arthropoda; Insecta; Neuroptera; Coniopterygidae
Description: tRNA-Leu
Source: RNAcentral